Bos taurus (domestic cattle) is the source of this 72-nucleotide non-coding RNA. The record is from Rfam. NCBI's taxonomy places the organism in Eukaryota, Metazoa, Chordata, Mammalia, Artiodactyla, Bovidae.
UCCCAGGUGGCUCAGCUGGCAAAGAAUCCACCUGUAAUGCAGGAGACCUGGGUUCGAUCCCUGGCUUGGGAA